Molecule: transfer RNA, 75 nt
Filed under: Pseudomonadota bacterium
Lineage: Bacteria; Pseudomonadati; Pseudomonadota
Also listed under: 1 other name
Description: tRNA-Gly
Rfam family: tRNA
About the family: Transfer RNA (tRNA) molecules are approximately 80 nucleotides in length. Their secondary structure includes four short double-helical elements and three loops (D, anti-codon, and T loops).
Source: RNAcentral
GCGGGUGUAGCUCAGUGGUAGAGCAUCACGUUGCCAACGUGAGGGUCGAGAGUUCGAAUCUCUUCACCCGCUCCA